CAAUAGCGUAUAUUAAAGUUGUUGCGGUUAAAAAGCUCGUAGUUGGAUUUCUGCUGAGGACGAUCGGUCCGCCCACUGGGUGAGUAUCUGGCUCGGCCUUGGCAUCUUCUUGGAGAACGUUGCUGCACUUGACUGUGUGGUGCGGUAUCCAGGACUUUUACUUUGAGGAAAUUAGAGUGUUCAAAGCAGGCGUUUUGCUUGAAUAUAUUAGCAUGGAAUAAUGGAAUAGGACGCUGGUUCUAUUUUGUUGGUUUUGAGAACCAGAGUAAUGAUUAAUAGGGACAGUGGGGGCAUUCAUAUUCCAUUGUCAGAGGUGAAAUUCUUGGAUUAACGGAAGAUGAACUACUGCGAAAGCAUCUGCCAAGGAUGUUUUCAUUGAUCAAGAACGAAAGUUAGGGGAUCGAAGAUGAUCAGAUAC
Molecule: ribosomal RNA, 418 nt
Filed under: uncultured eukaryote
Lineage: Eukaryota
Description: bacterial SSU rRNA
Rfam family: Eukaryotic small subunit ribosomal RNA
Source: RNAcentral